UGAUAUUGGCCACUGUCAGAAGACAGGAUAUUGGUCUAAAUGGACCUUUGGUCUGACCCAGUAUGGCUACUUCUAUGUUCUUAUGAGCUUAAGAGUUGAAAUAGACAUGACUAAGGGCAUGAUACAGACCAAUAUGUAGUGCCUUUUCCAAGGUAAUGCAGCAGAUCAGUAUCAGAAUCCGGAAUAGAACCCACGUCUCAUUCUGUCCAAUCCCGCCUCCCUCCACUAAACCCCCUGUGAUGUUAUUAGAUUGCAAUUUGAACAUAUGGAUCAUUGUUGCAACCACUGUUAUAUGUUUGCGCCAACUCUUGUACAAAUUGGGCCAAGAAAGCUAUUUAUAAAAGCUUACAAUUAGCUGAUUAUGUUUAUUCUAUUCAUACGCAUGCAUCGUUUUUGGAUAGGAUCUUAUGAGUAUUGGCUAUGUACUUGUAGUUCAAACGGUUGCUUCUGGGAGACAUCAACAGGAGGCUUGACCAGCCUAAUAUAAAAGGGCUACUAGUCAAGUGAACAGAAGUGCUUGAUGGACAAUGGGCCUUAGAUGGUGCCGAUCCACAUCUAAUAAUCUUUUCUGUGAAUGUUCAGGCAAACAUGGGAGCCAUAGUGUCAAGUUGCAAAUAAAUCAGUCCUGCAUUGACAGGUGACUUACUUUUCUGACAGACACCGCUUGGGGAUAUAUUUUUACACAGGAGAACAAUGGCAUUCCUUCCACAUGGACAAGGAUAUAAAAAAGGGCCCUCAGGGUUCUUCCAUUUGGUCUUCAGUCCAGCUUCUCACCUCUGGAGGAUCUUUGCUAUGAACUGAAGCUUGAACAAAGGUCUGAUAAUCCAUCCUAACAUAGGAUGUGUUCCAGAGAAUUGAUUUCCUGCCUUCUUUUCUUCCUUCCUUCCUUCCUUCGGUCCUGUAGAUUCUAAAGAAUUGGCUAACAGCAUGCCAUUAGAGUUAUAAAUUGACCUAGGAAAUUAGCUGGUCCUUUGGGAUCAGAAGAACCUUUUUUUGAUUUGGUAAGAUUGAUUUUCCUAACCUCUUGUCUGCAUAACGUGCGAUAUUGGUGGUGGCAGAGAAGAACUGGAGUGUCUAAGAAAGUUGUUUGUAUGGUUACUUUCUAGCUGGUGUGGUGAAUAGAAGUGCUCUUUGUGACUGGUUUGACAUGCUCUAUAGUGGAGGACUCCCAGCCAUGAGCUAACAUUGUCCACUGCACAAUGGCAUGGACUGGAACUGGAAAGAAAGUGGAGAUCCAUGACUUCCAGGUGCUGUCAGCUGGAAAAAAGGAAGAAUUGAUAGUUCACAUGGAGAUGAAACUAUUGGCUACCCGCCCACACAACCAAUUGACGGAGCAAUCCCGUGGGAUUAACCUCCAUUUCAGUGAACAUUUUCCAUUUACUUAAGAGCAAAGGAGAAAAAUUUAAAACAAACCCAAGAAAGAUCCCACCGUGGUAAGAGAAUGAAGGGCCAGAGCCCCAACUUGUCAAUCAGCAUCGCCCCUUAAAUAUCACUGGUGCUAAGCUGAGUUACAGCAGCUGGGGAGGUGGCUCUCCUCAGGAGCAGA
Pelodiscus sinensis (Chinese soft-shelled turtle) is the source of this 1546-nucleotide non-coding RNA. NCBI's taxonomy places the organism in Eukaryota, Metazoa, Chordata, Testudines, Trionychidae. The record is from RefSeq and is a predicted model, not a curated record.